AAAGAUCUAUGCAGUAGCCAUACUAGCAUGGUUAUUCAAUUCUGUUCAUUAAGCAUAUACAUAGUAAAAUCAAACGGAUAUACAACAGGACCCAAUUUACUAUGGUAAACCCUCAGCCGGACCAUUCAGAAGAACUUGAUGAACCCAGGAUCCAAUUCCCAUAUAGAUUAACUAAAUUUGAUGUAGUGAAGAAAGCAUUAAAGAAGCUCCCAUCUAAGGUGAUGUACUUGAGAGAACCGACGAUUUACAAGUUAUUAGCAAACAGGAAAGAUAAAAAGAGCAAACAUGAAAGAGCAGCUGUAUAUUCUAUCCUGAUAAUAAACCAUACAAAUUCUUGUAAAGUAUAUAGAAGUAACUAGUAGAUCAAUAAAACAAUAUCUCCAGGAACAUAAAUCUGACUUACAACUUCAUAUGAAUAAGCAAAAAUGGUUCAACAUGGCAGUUGUGCUUGGUGGGCC
Molecule: long non-coding RNA, 458 nt
Filed under: Androctonus crassicauda
Lineage: Eukaryota; Metazoa; Arthropoda; Arachnida; Scorpiones; Buthidae
Source: RNAcentral